Long non-coding RNA from Peromyscus eremicus (cactus mouse), 933 nucleotides. RefSeq lists it as uncharacterized. The record is from RefSeq and is a predicted model, not a curated record. NCBI's taxonomy places the organism in Eukaryota, Metazoa, Chordata, Mammalia, Rodentia, Cricetidae. The transcript has 3 exons.
AGCGGGUUGCCAUGGUCCCAGGGAUUCCCGUAAAGGAGUGUCCGUCGUCCUCGGAGAGCCGGGGCAGCGGCGGAUCCCCUUCCUGGGCUCCUGGAGGCAUCUGGGCCCCCGCCGCCGUGGUGGCUGCACGGCCCCGCACGCGGCCCGCCGUCGUCCAAGGCCUGCCCACACGCGCAUCCGCUUUCCAGCGAGGUGAAAAAGGUGAAAAUGUCGCCGGGCAACCGGAAAAGCCGGGAGCAGAGAUGUCCGUAUUUAACCGAGUGGAGCCGAGGCGAGGAGAAACCGAGUCGCUUGCUAAAAUGAAACAGAAAAUGACGGAGGACUGAUUUGAGCCCCCAGAGAUUUGACUCUGAUGCUCUCCGAACAGAAUAUGACGUCACUUGAACACAAAAGCAUCAACGCAGAACCAUCAGACUGAAGUGUCCCACUUGGCUCUGCCUGAUAAGGUCCCCACCAGUCUUGGACUUGAUUCAAAUUCUAGCUCCAUCGUUCAUUGGCUAGUUGACCAGGACAAGUCACCUUACCUCUCUAGGCCACGAUUUCCUAAUAAAAACAAAAAUUGGGGGCCGGCAAGAUGGCUCCGCAGGGAAAGGUGCUUGCCACCUAGCCUAAGGGUGAGUUUAAUCCCUAAGACCGACAUGGAAGAAAGAAAAUGAUUCCUGCAAGUUGACUUCUGACCAAUGCCAGUACCCCUAUGUCAUGCACACGCACAAAAUCAAUAAAUCAGUGAUUUUAAAGGAAUGUUUAUAUUUAAAAUGGAAAUUACCAGUCAUAUUUUCGAACCCUAAUAUGAAGAAGACACAAGAUGUAUAAAAUAAAAAAUGAUGUAGAAAGUAUUAAGCAUUAUAAGCUUUCAAUUAAUAGAAAAUAGUAAUAUUACUUUUAUGACAAAGCUUACAUAUAUUUUAAUUAAAUUUUAAUAGACUAUUUAAU